RNAcentral lists this ribosomal RNA (254 nucleotides) under uncultured bacterium. RNAcentral describes it as "partial 16S ribosomal RNA". It matches the Rfam family "Bacterial small subunit ribosomal RNA", at positions 524 to 776 of the family's 1533-position model. The record is from RNAcentral.
UACAGAGGGGGGCCAGCGUUAUUCGGAAUUAUUGGGCGUAAAGGGCGCGUAGGCGCCAUGCGUGUCUUUCGUGAAAUCCCUCGGCUUAACUGAGGACGUGCGGAAGAAACUGCAAGGCUUGAGUCCGGGAGAGGGGGGGUGGAAUUCCCAGUGUAGCGGUGAAAUGCGUAGAUAUUGGGAGGAACACCGGUGGCGAAGGCGGCUCACUGGACCGGUAUUGACGCUGAGGUGCGAAAGCGUGGGGAGCAAACAGG